AUCCUUCCUGGUUCAUAAAGCAUGAUGAUUGGGUGUUCACGCCAUUGCGAGAUGUGUGCCACCCAUAAGCCUUGUUAUGAUGUGGGUACAUUACCCGUCUGACG
Mastomys coucha (southern multimammate mouse) is the source of this 104-nucleotide small nucleolar RNA. RefSeq annotates it as small nucleolar RNA U13. The transcript has a single exon. NCBI's taxonomy places the organism in Eukaryota, Metazoa, Chordata, Mammalia, Rodentia, Muridae. The record is from RefSeq and is a predicted model, not a curated record.